GAUGAACGCUGGCGGCGUGCCUAAUACAUGCAAGCCGAGCGAACAGAUGAGGAGCUUGCUCCUCUGACGUUAGCGGCGGACGGGUGAGUAACACGUGGAUAACCUACCUAUAAGACUGGGAUAACUUCGGGAAACCGGAGCUAAUACCGGAUAAUAUAUUGAACCGCAUGGUUCAAUAGUGAAAGACGGUUUUGCUGUCACUUAUAGAUGGAUCCGCGCCGCAUUAGCUAGUUGGUAAGGUAACGGCUUACCAAGGCAACGAUGCGUAGCCGACCUGAGAGGGUGAUCGGCCACACUGGAACUGAGACACGGUCCAGACUCCUACGGGAGGCAGCAGUAGGGAAUCUUCCGCAAAGGGCGAAAGCCUGACGGAGCAACGCCGCGUGAGUGAUGAAGGUCUUCGGAUCGUAAAACUCUGUUAUUAGGGAAGAACAAAUGUGUAAGUAACUAUGCACGUCUUGACGGUACCUAAUCAGAAAGCCACGGCUAACUACGUG
Molecule: ribosomal RNA, 497 nt
Filed under: uncultured bacterium
Lineage: Bacteria
Description: partial 16S ribosomal RNA
Rfam family: Bacterial small subunit ribosomal RNA
Source: RNAcentral